This 1255-nucleotide long non-coding RNA is filed under the name Homo sapiens (human). Its description in RNAcentral is "HSALNT0370506". The record is from RNAcentral. Lineage: Eukaryota; Metazoa; Chordata; Mammalia; Primates; Hominidae.
CUCGCGUGAGUGCGCGUGCGUUGGGGCCUCAGCCUUUAUCUCCACUCUGCGGAGAUUCACGCCUGGAAAACGCUCUUCUGAGAGGAUCUGUGGAGGUCAACCCAGGAGAGAGAAGACAGGACUGAAGCACUGAAAGGGUCCUGCCGUUAAGGGCGCAGGAUUGUAUAGAAUAUAUAAUAGCAGUAGCAGCUCUGUUUACGGAGCAUUAACCUUACGUGGAGUUAUUUCCUGCAUUUCCUCCUUUCGUCUUUACAAGGUAGCCGUUUGGCGUCGUGAGGUAUGGAUGUUCCCAUCCCUAAUUUGCAAAAUAGGUAACUGAGGCUCAGGAGAGCUAGACUAGUUUGUGCACAGCCGAGAAGUGGUCAAGCUAGAAUGGGACCCCAGGUUUGUGCUCCCUACUCUCCACCGAUAACCUAUCAAAGGGCUUUGCAAGAGCUUUUGACUAAUCGUCUGUCAAUGGUUCUUCAUUCACGUAUUAAUUGCACAUCAGUAUGUGCCAAAUCUACUAGACAUUGGAGAAACAGUAGGAACAACACAUGGUACCGGCACAUGGAUCUUUCAGGAAAACGAAGUAGGUAAUAAACAGGAAAAAGCCCGAGUCUGAUGCUAAGAAGAACAUAAACAGGAUGCUGAGGUAAGAGAAUAACUGGAUGUGGGGACUUCUUCGUAUUAGAUGAUUAAGGAAGGAAUCUCAGGAGGUAACAUUUAAGCUGAGACCCCUGAGGAAUGAGAAAGGGCUGGCUAUUGGAAAUCCAAGGAAAGAUUUCUGGGCAGAUGGGUAGAAAUUUUAAGGUGGAAAUAAGCUAAAUAUGUUCAAGAAUCAGCAAGAAGGUCAUUGUAGCUGGAGUAGAUCGAGUAGGAGGAGACUGAUAAAGGAGAUUGGGUCUCUCCACAUUGCCCCGGCUGCUCUCCAACCCCUGAGUUCAAGUGAUUCACCUCCCUUGGCCUCCCAAAGUACUGGGAUUACAGGCGUGAGCCACCGUGCCUGGCUGAGAAGAUGGAUUUAAGACAUAUUUUGGAGCGGAAAGUGACCAGAAGAGGUGUGCAGUUUCCAGGCCUGGCCCAUACAGACCUCCAACAGGUGCUCCCCUGUGCUGUUACUCCUUCUGCCAACUGGAAGCAGAUGGUGACCAGGCUCUGGAGAAGGCAAGGCCUGAAGAUGGGAGAUUCCUAAGUGGAGGAGAACUGUGCCUUACUGACCUAAAUAUCCACUCAGUAUUGUUAUGUGAGAAUAAAUAAACUUGUGUUGACCGUU